CAGUGCUAUGCAAAUACUGCAGUCAUUAUCAUCAGUGGUUUGCAAGAAUUCUUCUACAUCAGAACUGCUUAAUGAAAGGUGGCUGCAGACUUCCAUUAAAAAUUAUUUUUUGAAGUCUCUCUGUCAUGGGAUUUCUAUUUGCCUCUUGGUCAGACAUAAUGGAAAGUGUCAGACAGAUUAAAAUCUCACGUGGACAGUGAACAGGCUCAGAUUACUGCAGUGCUUUCUGCAGUGAUUUACUUUUUCACUGCCUUGAUGAUUUAUUCUGUUCCUUAUAAGAAGAUUGGACUUCAUAGUAAGUAACUUACAAUGAAGAAAUAUGGAGAUACCAAAAGUAGGAAGGAUUUGAAACGGUAGAAUACCUGCUGGAAAAAAGCUGCUCACACCGAUCCCAACUGAGCUGGGAACUGUCAGCUUCAGAAGCAUUAGCAGAAUCUGGGAAUCAUACAGCCUGAGAGCUUGCUCAAGAUGGGCCAACUGGCCACCAAGACUAGCUUUGUAAAGGAUUCUGUUUUCUGAGCUGAAUCUGCACACAAAUUUCCAAUUCCAGCCCAUGGGAGUUGCCAUGGUUUGCAUGUCAUCGCAAAAAUCUAUCUGAGGAAUGUCAUCUGCACUUGAGGGAAGGACAAGCAUUGUAAUUAAGUAUUAAGCCAUUUCACCAGUAUGAAUCUGCCACGAAGUGUGAAAUGGCUAUUAUUCACAUUUUAAGACCUCGCAUUUAUUAGCAUCUAUUUUCUACCCAAGGUUAGCAGCAUGCUGCACAGUGUUUAAAAAAAAAAAAAAAGCAAAAACAGUUUACAUUUUUGUUAUUCAAAUGGAUGCCUGUGUCUGUCUGACUGUACACAGAUUGCUAGCACCAAUUGGGCUUCUCUCAGGUCCCAGAGGACUUCUGGCCUGCACACCUUUGUGAGCAGCAUUGGAAGGGAUGCUCUGAUUAUGGAACAAGUGAUAUUCAGCUGCUGAAAUGUAAUGACAACCACAGGUGCAACACACCUUGGCAGAACACUGAUCCUGUGUACACAAAAGAUAUCCAGCCUGAGAUAACAAGCAGGAUUGAUGAUUAAUACCUCCCAGAAAAAGAUUUUGUUUGCAUUAGGAAACACUUGCAGAAUAAAUGCAGACAGCAAAUAAUGAUCCAGCCUGUACUGUUGUAUGCAGGGGGCAGCAGAAAUUUCCCUGGUCUAACUAGAGAAAGGCAAUGAGCACACACUUGCUAUUUUGCUGCUCAAUUAUAUACAUAAGGAGAGGAAUCCUGUGCAUCCUCCAGCCAGAAAUGAGAGAUUUCCACUGCUCUCUACCUUAUACACCAUGCCAUUUGGCAGCAGUUUAAUUUAGAAAUCUGCCCCUUCCUGCCCUAUUCUCACACUUCUGCUUUCAGUUAUGGGCCAUGUAGCUCUGGAAGAUGCUCCUGCACCCACACACCUGCACUUACACACUAGUGCAUCCAAAAAGAGCCCCAUAGCUGACCACAGACUGUUCAAUCACAAAUUCCAGCUACUUUCUUUUGCAGUUUGAGCCUAUCUCAUUUUUUACUCCAGCAAUUUAAACACCUUUAUGCCAAACUCACCUUCCCACUAAGAUGGCCUUCACUGUCCACCAGCCCUUCUUGAAAAGGAUCUGCCUGUCAGUGGGCAGCUCCUGUUAGCAGCACAGUGAGCAGGGCCAUGCCAUGAUUUAUACAGCUGGGAUAAGUCAGCAAAGCUCUGUCAGUGCCUCUGUCAUUUGCCAGGUGUGUGCCUGAUUAUCUGAUCCAUAUCUAGGCACCACCUGCUAAAAAUAGGGAAGGAAAGAACACUAAGAGCUAAAUCCCGUAUCUUGUGCUGGGUGGGAAAGGGUGAUAGUCAUUAAGAGCAGAUAUGCUGUAGCAAUAAGAGGGAGCAGCAAGACUCCUCUGCAACAGUUCUAUUUUAACAGAAGGAAAACACCUGCAAUCAUCUGCCUCCUUAACUCCAAGCCUUCUAUCGAAUGCAUUGUAUGAAGUGCUCAAUAUAUCAUCCAUAAGAAGCCUCAUGGAAAGACUCCCUUUGACCUGGGGCUGUGGUUUGUCUGCUCUAACAGACAAAUGGCCAGCAGCAAGAAGGCAUGUCAACAGCAAAGCAGCUGUGAAGCGAUCAUGAGUUCUGCUCUGAGGAAGUCACAUUCAACAUCAAGUGCUUCAAGAAAUGUUACCUGCCAUGAGAAAAUCGUCAGAUCACAUGUGGAAUCCUAGAUUAGCACAUCAGGAGUGAUGAGAACUUCUGCCUUUCAAACAAACCUCACAAGGGUCCACUCAAACUAGCUUGAAGUUCAGAAACUAGGAACCUCUUCUCUCAUUCCAACUGUAUACACAAAGGAAGGCACUGGCUUGGUGAGGACAAUUCUAGAAAUCCUGCCUUCUUAAAUCACUAUUACAUUUUGUUACAAAACAAGGAAAGUAAAAUCCAUCUCAAGGCAAAAGCAUGUUGUUUUGAAGCUGGUAAAAUUCUACCAGAAUUAUUACAUAUGCACCAGUAAAACAAAGAAAAGAACAGCUACUGUAAUGCUACAACAUGAUAGCAACUACAGCAACAAUAGCAGUGGAACAGCCCUAGGCUGCAGCAACUAAGAACAAGCCCAAAUGCAACAACCACGGAUGCAGAAACAGAGGAAGAAAAACUGCUUACCUUCAGCAGGCCUCAAGUAGGCAGGGACCUCUAGCAAAACCCUCUUAUCUCCACUGCCAGCCCUUAAAUGAGGUCUGGUAAGGGAUGAAUCCUGGCUCCACCCCUUCCAAUCACUCAGGAGCACUGCAUGCACCUGAGCUCCCCUGGGCUGGCCCUGCCUUCCUACCAGGUGCUCAAUCACUGCUUCAGGCCGUGAUUCAGCAUUUCUGCUACAGCACCCUUACCAGCUAAUCAAUCUGAAAACAACACUACUAGUUGCAAGGCUAAAUUGACCAUUUUUUCCUUGCUGCCGCCUUGAAGGAAUUCCCAGUGUUUGCUAAAAGCUAAACUAUGUUUCAAUGUGACAUGCUACUCUUCAUAAAUGACAUCCAUUUCCCACCAAAUGCUUCCUCUUUCAUACAACUGAUUUUUUGUGUUUCUUCUACUUUUUGUUCCUUUGAUCUUUGUGAACAUAAUGGUUUUUAGACAGAAACAUUAUUUGUGUUUGUUCUUAUUGAAAAUAUCUCUGCUGCUUUGUGAAGCACAGCUGAGAGAAGCCUUAAUUCGAUAAGAAUUAUUAUUUCACAGAAAGAGUGCUGUUGCAUUAGCUAAGCACUGUAUUUAAAUUGCUUUUUGGUACAAUGGGUCUCACUUGGACUAUUUGGAUAGUUCAAUACUGUACAUGGUAAGGUAGAAUUGCCCUAAUAAAAUCAAACUACAAGUGCAUUUCAUCUGUUAUUGGGUACUUUCAGUGCUUCAUAAUUAACUUUGGUCAAAAAUUACCCCUUUAAGCCCAAGAGAUUAAUUCUCCCUUAACUAUAUUUGUGUAUAACAGGAAAAACAAUCAUGCCUUGGUUUCCCAGCCUUGGAUGAGCAGUUUAUGGCAUUUUUUAACCUACAAUGACUGUGGAUGAAUUCCAGGUCUGUGAUUGCCGCUUACAAAGUGAAUUUCACGCUGUUUUCUUUUUAUUUAACUCCAGGAACAUAAACACCCUAAACUAGGGUUUCAGCAACACGCUUGCAGUGCAAGUGCUUGCCUAGCAGUCUGGUUAUGAGGGAGAUCCCUAUGCUAGGUCUGAACAAGGCAGUUUGGGUUGAGGAAGCUGCCCUAACAACAAGCCCACGGACAGGUGCUCUUGUACAGCACCUGUUCAACAUGCACCCUUCCUGCAUGUAUUAGUUUAACAUCCUUUUGAUACUUUUUUUUUUUUACAUUGGACCACUCACUUUUUAGUUAUGUUUCCACCUCCAAUUAUUUCCCUUCACUGCCACUCAUCAGCUGGUCUAGCCCUUAUCCCUCUCCUUGAAGGAUGUCUCAAUAGCAGUGAAGGCACUGAUCUUGUGAUUGUCAGACAGUUUUUGUUACUCUUCUUAACAUAUAUUGCCCUCUUGAAAGAAGACAAAUGAGGAAGCCUGGUGAUUUCUGUCAGAGUCAAGGAGAGGCUCUCAAGUAAAGCUCUUACCAAGUUACUUGGGCUCUAUUAAAACAAUCCAGUGACAAAAGAGCAUCUGCAGUCAACCUCUAUGUACAGGCAAUCACAAGGAUAGCAACUUGCAUUACAAAGACUCAAUUACUACAUAUAUUUAAUGUCCCCCAAAAAAUCUCAUAAUUCCUCUCUCUUAACUAUUUUGGGAUGAU
Long non-coding RNA from Tympanuchus pallidicinctus (lesser prairie-chicken), 4260 nucleotides. RefSeq lists it as uncharacterized. NCBI's taxonomy places the organism in Eukaryota, Metazoa, Chordata, Aves, Galliformes, Phasianidae. The record is from RefSeq and is a predicted model, not a curated record. The transcript has 3 exons.